Numida meleagris (helmeted guineafowl) is the source of this 4837-nucleotide long non-coding RNA. RefSeq lists it as uncharacterized. The transcript has 2 exons. The record is from RefSeq and is a predicted model, not a curated record. Lineage: Eukaryota; Metazoa; Chordata; Aves; Galliformes; Numididae.
CCGCCGCUCGUCGUCUGGACGUUUGCGACAGCCACGUCUCCUGCUUCAGGGCUUCUGAUGGGCGCUCUCAGGGGUCAGGUCGCUCUGUUGCAGGGUUUUCUCCUCGGCGGCGAUGGUGCAGGAGGGACAGACCUAGCGCCCGCUGCCAUGGUGCGGGCCGCUCCCAUCUGUGGGAGCGGGGAACCGAUACUUUUACGGAGCAGCCGUGCUUCGGCUUUCUCAGCUUCCUACACAGAAAUGGAAAGGGAUGCCCAGCACCCCCCUCACCUCCCUGCGCAGGGUGGACGUGAGAGGUUUCCUGUUAAAUACAUUAGUGCAUCUCCACCUGAUGAAGAUGGGGCUGAGCUGCCUCCAGAUCUACAUCUGGAGAUGUAAAUCAAGCGACUCCAGCAUUGCUGCUGGCGUUCCAGAAACCAGAUUGAGUGUUCCUUUGUACAAAACACCCUAUACGAGCAAAUCUUAGCAAUAGGCUUCACACCUAGCACACACACAGGUGUUCAGCUGCGGUUCGGGUGGGUGAGCUCUGGAGUGGGAGGAAGAAGCCUGUAUCAAAUUGCCUAGAGCAGCAGAAUGAAAUAUGCCCAGCAGCUAACUAAUAUCAGAAACAUGUCAUAGCUGGCCUAUUUCCAGAGGGGUGGGAAAAACAGCAGCUGCCCUGACGAGUUCACGGAGAGCCUGCCAUUACUGGGCAGCAUCUGUCAAGGGACUGUUAAACCACAGGAGUGUUUCAGGAUCUGCUUUUAUUUUAGUUAUCUAAGAUAUUUCUCGUUAAUGACUGAUAUUAAUGUUGGCUAUUAAAAGGAACAUCCAACAUCAUCUUUCUGAUUAUGUGCAAAAGUUGUUGGCAUGAGUUCUGUGAAAUUUCUCCCGAGAGGACAAAAGCAUCAGCCCUUCUUUGCCCUUCUGGGUGAGCAAGUUCUUUGUUCUUCCUGCCAACCAGCACAUUUCUAGAUCCAAAGCAUUCCUGAUCCUGCUGGCACCCCAUUAUGGAGGGAAGCACAGAUUUACAAAAGCAGAAAAAUUUGCUGAUAUUACAGGAAGCUGGUUAGCUGAGAUCAGCAGCAGAUUUAGUAGAUGACCAGUUUUUUUGUGUUUGUUCAUACGGGAGCCAUCAAUGUUUCCACGGCAGGGCAAAGGGAAGGGAUUUGGAGGAAUCUGGAAGCUGCACAUUUUCUGCCUAGAUGAUGCAAAAGGCUGGAGAGCCAAUGCUGUGAUUCUCUGGUACGCACAGCUUUUGGAAGCUUUGCCAUUGCUGUUGGGUGACUCAGAGGGAAUCAGCGUAAUUUAUCCGUGUCUUUUCAGAAGACAAGCCUCCUAAAAAAGCAAAGAGCAGAAUGAUUUUUCAACAGAUUAACAACAGAGACCAGCAGGACUCCCUUUUGACCCAAAAUUUGCCUGUGCAGACAGAAUGAACAAACACGAAGAAUUCAAGGCAUAUUAAACUGAUCCUGAGAUAAACACUGACAUUUUUAAUCAAGAGGAAAAUCAGAAAGGAAUAUCACAUUAAAUGUUAAUAGCAUUCACGAAAAUGUGAAUUUAGCCUGCAGAGAAAUCUCUCCACUUUGACUAGUGAUUUAAACAGCACAGCGUUAUUUUUCCAGCCUAAUGUUUCAAAUGGGAGAGCAAGCCAGAUGUACCAAAACAUGAAAAAAGAGACAUACCCUUCCUAGAAGAGGUAUUUUUUGUUGCAAAAUACCGUCUUAAAUAAUGAUAUUCCUGUUCUCAGUCUUGUUGACUUUUGCAAAAAUUAGUCAUCAAAGUGAAUCCAAGUGGCGGCAGUCUUCUUAGAUUUUGGAAAGCAGUGUGUAUCUGCCUACUUGUUUCAAGACUGGAUUACUCUACCAAGAUUUAUCUCCCUGCUCAGCUAAUAAACUACAAUGUACUUACCGAAAUGAAAACAAGGAAAACCUCUGGAGCUGAAGGUAACUUCCUUUUUCAUGUAGAUCUUUGGCACUGGAAGCUUCUUAGGAAAAAUCCUUUCACGCUCUUUGGGGGAGUUUUGGAGAAAUUGGAAAUUUUAGUCUUUAUUCAGUAGAGCAAGGAAUGGUCAUUGACACAAGUACUACAGAACACUCUCAAAAUGUCAGCCAUCCUCAGAAGCGCUGAGUGCAGGCAACGCCAUGCUCUAAGCUGACAUGUGUGGCAUUUACCAGCCUUCAUUUGCAAACACACCCAUCCAUGAAGAAUUAUCUCAGUGGUUCUGGUUCAGCACAAAAGUACACAAGGAGACACGUGACAGUGUCUGUCACAACGCAGCAAAGGAGGUGCGCUAGGCUCUACACAUACCUAGAGACACAUGGAAAUCCUGCCCAAAGGGAUUUACUGAGUGCCAGUGUGCUGCCAAGACCCAGCUAGCCCAGGGGCCUGCCGAAACUUAAACAAGGAUUAUCUUAACAUGGCAGAAAACACACAAGAGCAGAUUCCUCUGACAAAGCAGCAUAUCAUUUGCUGAGGAGCUGGCACGGGCUUAUUGCUGCCUGACCUGAAGCAUGGCCCCAUCCCAAUGGCCCAUGCCCUUGGGGACACCCAAGGCUUUGAGUAGCCCAAGCUCCCACUUCCCCAGUGGGAGGGCACCCACCGCCCUCCCAGCAGCACAGGUCUGAGCUUUCUCCUCUCCCUGCUCUCCAGAGAACUUGCUCUCCAGGCAUGGGAGAUCUGUGGGGCAUGGCAAGGAUGGGGAGGAAAGCACACCUUAAAUCUAGAGCCCUUCCCAAAAGACACUGGUUUACUUGGAACCUGUCCUGACACAAAGGUUCAAGUCUCAGCAAUGCAACUACCAGGAAGGUAUUUUUCUUUAGGUUUAAAACAGCUCUUUCCAAGCUCAGAGUGACUCACGAGGCAAUGUGACCAGAAAAGGUGAUGACUUUUCAAACAGCAAAAGGUAGAAAACCAGGAGUUUGUUUUAACAAACAGCAGCUCUGUUCUGGCUGCUCAUCAGCGUUCACAACUGUGACAUCUGCUGCAAGCAUGCAGCAUCCCUGUUGCCAUCUGAGGGGUUCUACUAGCGUUCAUUAGACACUGGCACGUGUCACCCAAACCUCUGCACGUAAGGACACCGCAAAGCCCAGGAUGACCAACCUUCAGCCCAUCUCCUUUUGCUGUACGCAUCAUGCUGAAGCAGUCACCUCAGAUCUCUGGUCCCUGCAAAAGCAAAGCGGGAUGAAGACCUGUUAUGAAAACCAGAUUAUUCCCUUCACUUUGCAGUGAGCAUUGCUGAGAGGUACUUUUCCUCCAUGCUGCUAACGGGGCAUGUUCCCUUCAGCACUUUUAUCAACAGAGUCUCUUCCAGAAACUUGGAAAACCAGCAGCUUCUGUGUGACAGACUCCACCAAAAUUAAUGUGACUGAUGGCUUACUUAACAUCCGAUGCUACAGGAGUCUCAGGGAGCACAGGAGUGGACAGAUGUCCUCACUGAAACAUCCACAUGCAGCAAACUCCUAGGAAUACACAGGCAUUAAGGGCAUUCUGGGAGAUGGGCUACACAUGGGAAAUGCUUGCUAAAGUCAAGCAACUUGUUUUGGCUAACAUGUUCUCUCUUUCCUCUCUUUUUUUUGUUUUUGUCAGUGCUUACAUGAAACUGUGCUAGCAAGAAAGCAAGGGAACCCUGCAGCAGGACCAGGACUUUGGCCCAGGAUGCACUGGGAGCUUGUUUGUACUGUAGCUUCAGCCUCAGUCAGAGGGGAAGGCUGGGUGACACCAAAGGCAGGCAAUUGGUGCUGGCAGGAAGUCUUGCUGUCAGGAACGGGAAAGUGGAGGAGACAUAUGGGAUUCCUCGUGUUGCUCAGUUGUUUUCUAAGGAAUGAACAGGUUAAUCUACUUUCAGUACACACCUAAGUGCAGGACAUACUUGCAGCCCCCACAAAACAUUUCUAAAUGGCUGCAGAGGACUAGCUGUGUUGCUAGACACUCCCUGAGUAAAAAGGAAGAAGAAAUGAGGAAGACCAGCAGGAAACAACAAGGCAGCAAUCCAAUCAGAUAACCUGCUGACAGAAGGCUGUAUCGCUGAGGCUUGCAAAUCAGCUGGCACUGUUUCAGUACAGACUAGGCAUCAGGUAGCAGAGCUCACACGCCAAGGCUGCUGCCUCCCAAGCAGGUCAUGGUAGCCAUUCAAGUAUCUCAGCAAUCACUCCUGGGCAGAUUAUAAGGGAAGAAGAGAUGUGAAGUGCAUGCUAGGCCAGGAAUGACUGCCCACCAUGACUCCCCUCCUCUUCACAAGUCCUCCUGGGUCACAUGGCACAAGCUGACAAAAGUGUCAUUCAGAUCUUCAAGUAUUAAAGUCUGUUCUAGGAAUAACACCAGACCCUGAAUAUCGAUUUGUGUAAAGGAUGCAAGACUGAAUGAGAUAAGGGCAAACUCAGACACUUCAGUGGAAGAGUUGCCUUAAGAACUCCAUUUAUACUUAAGAUGGAAAGUAAGUGAAUUUUUGGAUCCCAAGAUGAACAACCAAAAGCUGUGGGGAGCUACAGUUCCUAUGUACUAUCACCUAUGCAGAAUCCUGCUCUACCCAAUGGAAAGUCCUUUCAGAAAUCUGCCCUCAAAAAUCCUCACAAGACAAGGGUGGAAAUUCUUCUGAACAGGACUGUCAGACCCCUGACUAAGGAGGGACAGAGAAAACAGAAUUUGGUCUGAACUCACCCUGCAAGCAGCUAAAAAACCAAAGGUGCUGGAGAAAGAACUAAGCUUGAAGCUUUUUCAAGCUUAUCUGGAAGGAAGCUUGAUAUUUAAAUGGAAACAUCAGUCUUCACAGUCCAAACAUACAGAAGGAUGCGAUGUAGUUUAUUUUUGGGCAAAAUGUUGGCACUAAUAAAUUUCUGGAAAAUAUGGUAAAACCAAGAAA